This 253-nucleotide ribosomal RNA is filed under the name uncultured bacterium. RNAcentral's name for it is "partial 16S ribosomal RNA". It matches the Rfam family "Bacterial small subunit ribosomal RNA", at positions 524 to 776 of the family's 1533-position model. The record is from RNAcentral.
UACGUAGGGCGCAAGCGUUGUCCGGAAUUAUUGGGCGUAAAGAGCUCGUAGGUGGUCUGUUACGUCUGCUGUGAAAACCCAGGGCUUAACCCUGGGCCUGCAGUGGAUACGGGCAGACUAGAGGUAGGUAGGGGAGAAUGGAAUUCCCGGUGUAGCGGUGAAAUGCGCAGAUAUCGGGAGGAACACCGGUGGCGAAGGCGGUUCUCUGGGCCUUGCCUGACACUGAGGAGCGAAAGCGUGGGGAGCGAACAGG